UAACUUCCCUCAGGGUCUCGCUGAGUAUUAUGUCCCCUGCACCUUAAGCAAAAAACCGCUCAUCAUCCUUCACUUCCUGCUUCGGCUCAAGUUCAGUCCUGCUUUGUGCUUCACAAACUCCAGAGAAGCAGCACACUGACUGUAUUUG
Molecule: long non-coding RNA, 148 nt
Organism: Sinocyclocheilus grahami
Lineage: Eukaryota; Metazoa; Chordata; Actinopteri; Cypriniformes; Cyprinidae
Exons: 3
Source: RefSeq, a predicted model, not a curated record